RNAcentral lists this ribosomal RNA (305 nucleotides) under uncultured bacterium. RNAcentral's name for it is "bacterial SSU rRNA". It matches the Rfam family "Bacterial small subunit ribosomal RNA", at positions 335 to 634 of the family's 1533-position model. The record is from RNAcentral.
AUCCUACGGGACGCAGCAGUAGGGAAUUCUCGUCAAUGGGCGCAAGCCUGAACGAGCAAUGCCGCGUGAACGAGGAAGGUCUUCGGAUCGUAAAGUUCUGUUGAAGGGGAAAAAGAGCGGAGAGAGGAAAUGGUCUCCGAUUGAUAUUACCCUUCGAGGAAGUCACGGCUAACUACGUGCCAGCAGCCGCGGUAAUACGGAGGAUGCGAGCGUUAUCCGGAUUUAUUGGGUUUAAAGGGUGCGUAGGCGGUCUGUUAAGUCAGCGGUAAAAUUGCGGGGCUCAACCCCGUCGAGCCGUUUAAACU